This 1043-nucleotide long non-coding RNA is filed under the name Anas platyrhynchos platyrhynchos (common mallard). RNAcentral's name for it is "lncRNA (ENSAPLG00000030530.1)". The record is from RNAcentral. Lineage: Eukaryota; Metazoa; Chordata; Aves; Anseriformes; Anatidae.
AGGGGGGGCCGUGCAGAAACGCCGCCCGUGCCCCCCGGCCUCGUGAGAAGUCAUUUGAAGAGAGAAGGAGGAGGAGGAGGAGGAGGAAGAAAAACAAUAGCCAAAAAAGACUGACUUGCGAUCGCAGAUGUUUUCUACUUAGGAACAGUUCCUUUUUUUUUUUUUUUUUAAUAAAUAAAAAAACAAAAAAGAAGAAUGAGAAAGGAACCGUAGGGAGAAAGGAACCCAUGUCCGGUGAUGGAAGGGGACAGAGCAGCCCUCGGUGGCACCGACGAAGGCCAGCACCGUGCCGUGCCGCCCCCGGUGGGACGUCGGAGCGGAGGACGACCCCCCCGGUCCCCAGUGGGCAGGAGGAGCACGGUGGCUCGGCCAGGACGCAGUGGCACCAGCCCCUCGGCAUCGUCCCCAGGGCAGCGGCGUGGCUGCGGCGUGGCAGAGCCCCCGGCGCUGGGGGUGGCGGCGGGGACGUGGGGACGUCCCUGCAAGGCCAGGGCAGAAGUGCCGAGGUGGGAGCAGGUAGGAGCAGGGCAGGAGAGGGGCUGCGGAGGGCGGGUGCUGCUGCUGCUGCAUCCCAGGAACUGGCACCCUUGGGUGCCUUAAAAAGGAGGGACGGGAGAAGCUGCAUCUCGGGUCCCUCACCCCAAGGAGGGUGCUCCUCAUCCAACCCCAUUUGGUGGUGUUGGAGUGGGAGGGCAUCGACGAUGCAAAGCAAUUUUUUAUGGCUCUUUUUUUUUUCUUUUUUUUUUUUUUUAAUUAAAGUGCUUUUUAAUAUUUUUUUAAAAAGACACCGUGCUUGGAAUCAGGAUCUGUCCCUCCUGUGCCACUCCACGGUACCAGGGACCUGCUCCCUGCCCGUCCCCGGUGCCGGUGGCCAGAGGAGGUGGCGGAGCCGAGCUCACUGGGUCGGAGCCAUAUGGCAAAAUUACGUGGCUCAGGCAGGCACGGGGAAGGUUUGGGGUCACCAAACUCACGUGGGGUCCCUGCAGAGUGCGGCCGGGUUCGUGCGUGGCAGUGGGAGCCCCGGGCUGUGCUUGCGCUUUCAG